GACGAACGCUGGCGGCGUGCCUAAUACAUGCAAGUCGAACGCUUCUUUCCUCCCGAGUGCUUGCACUCAAUUGGAAAGAGGAGUGGCGGACGGGUGAGUAACACGUGGGUAACCUACCCAUCAGAGGAGGAUAACACUUGGAAACAGGUGCUAAUACCGCAUAACAGUUUAUGCCGCAUGGCAUAAGAGUGAAAGGCGCUUUCGGGUGUCGCUGAUGGAUGGGCCCGCGGUGCAUUAGCUAGUUGGUGAGGUAACGGCUCACCAAGGCCACGAUGCAUAGCCGACCUGAGAGGGUGAUCGGCCACACUGGGACUGAGACACGGCCCAGACUCCUACGGGAGGCAGCAGUAGGGAAUCUUCGGCAAUGGACGAAAGUCUGACCGAGCAACGCCGCGUGAGUGAAGAAGGUUUUCGGAUCGUAAAACUCUGUUGUUAGAGAAGAACAAGGACGUUAGUAACUGAACGUCCCCUGACGGUAUCUAACCAGAAAGCCACGGCUAACUACGUG
Molecule: ribosomal RNA, 508 nt
Filed under: uncultured bacterium
Lineage: Bacteria
Description: partial 16S ribosomal RNA
Rfam family: Bacterial small subunit ribosomal RNA
Source: RNAcentral